RNAcentral lists this transfer RNA (84 nucleotides) under Anaerotalea alkaliphila. It matches the Rfam family "tRNA". Rfam says of the family: Transfer RNA (tRNA) molecules are approximately 80 nucleotides in length. The record is from Rfam by way of RNAcentral. Lineage: Bacteria; Bacillati; Bacillota; Clostridia; Eubacteriales.
GCGGAUGUGGCGGAACUGGCAGACGCAACAGACUCAAAAUCUGUCGAUGGUGACAUCGUGGGGGUUCGAUUCCCUUCAUCCGCA